RNAcentral lists this ribosomal RNA (253 nucleotides) under uncultured bacterium. RNAcentral describes it as "partial 16S ribosomal RNA". It matches the Rfam family "Bacterial small subunit ribosomal RNA", at positions 524 to 776 of the family's 1533-position model. The record is from RNAcentral.
UACGUAGGGUGCAAGCGUUGUCCGGAAUUAUUGGGCGUAAAGAGCUCGUAGGCGGUCUGUCGCGUCUGCUGUGAAAACUCAGGGCUUAACCCUGAGCUUGCAGUGGGUACGGGCAGACUAGAGUGCGGUAGGGGAGACCGGAAUUCCUGGUGUAGCGGUGAAAUGCGUAGAUAUUCGGAAGAACACCGGUGGCGAAGGCGACCUUCUGGGCCGCAACUGACGCUGAGGCACGAAAGCCUGGGGAGCGAACGGG